UACGUAGGGGCCGAGCGUUGUCCGGAGUUAUUGGGCGUAAAGCGCGCGCAGGCGGCCUCGCGCGCCCGACGUGAAAGCCCCCGGCUUAACCGGGGAGGGUCGUUGGGGACGGCGGGGCUUGAGGGCGGGAGAGGGUGGUGGAAUUCCCGGUGUAGUGGUGAAAUGCGUAGAGAUCGGGAGGAACACCCGUGGCGAAGGCGACGUCCUGGACCGGUAUUGACGCUGAGGCGCGAAAGCCAGGGGAGCAAACGGG
RNAcentral lists this ribosomal RNA (253 nucleotides) under uncultured bacterium. RNAcentral's name for it is "partial 16S ribosomal RNA". It matches the Rfam family "Bacterial small subunit ribosomal RNA", at positions 524 to 776 of the family's 1533-position model. The record is from RNAcentral.